UCGUGGACCGCAGCGAGACGCCCUAAAGCGAAGGCAUUUGCCAAGAGUGUUUUCAUUAAUCAAGAACGAAAGUCAGAGGCGUGAGAGGUGAAAUCWGMKWSMGACGUGARWUCUGACNGURAACGAUGCCAACUAUNCNNRAUCCGCGAGUGGCUUUUGGUCAUUGGCGGGCGGAUCGACGGAAACGAAAGUUUUUCGGUUCCGGGGGAAGUAUGGUUGCAAAGCUGAAACUUAAAGGAAUUGACGGAAGGGCACCACCAGGAGUGGAGCUUGCGGCUUAAUUUGACUCAACACGGGAAAUCUCACCCGGCCAGUACAUCAUAAGGAUUGACAGAUUGAAAGCUCUUUCAUGAUUUGAUGAAUGGUGGUGCAUGGCCGUUCUUAGUUCGUGGUGUGAACUGUCUGCUUAAUUGCGAUAACGAGCGAGACUCCGACUGUUAAAUAGUGGGAGGUUUAUUUUGACCUCCGCACUUCUUAGCGGGAUUCGCAACUUCAAGUUGCAAGAAAUGGAGCAAUAACAGGUCUGUGAUGCCCUUAGAUGUCCGGGGCAGCACGCGUGCUACAAUGGUGGUAACAGCGUGAUUGUCCUCGCCCGAGAGGGCUUGGCAAACAGUUGAGAUAUUAUUAUGGCUGGAAUUGAGUGUUGAAAUUUUCUCUCAUGAACGAGGAAUUCCAAGUAAAUGCGAGUCAUCAACUUGCAUUGAUUACGUCCCUGCCCUUUGUACACACCGCCCGUCGCUACCCGGGACUGAGUUAUUUCGAGAAAUCUACGGACCGCUGUAUGUGGCAACAUGUGCAAUGGAAAGUAAAUUAAUCGCAAUAAUUUGAACCGGGUAAAAGUCUACAAAGGGUAGCAAAA
Molecule: ribosomal RNA, 859 nt
Filed under: Aphelenchoides sp. Ap064
Lineage: Eukaryota; Metazoa; Nematoda; Chromadorea; Rhabditida; Aphelenchoididae
Description: SSU rRNA
Rfam family: Eukaryotic small subunit ribosomal RNA
Source: RNAcentral